UAAAUUGUUAUUGUUAUUCCUGUUUCUUCUAGUUCUGUGAACAUCUAAAUUAGACGGUUCAUCUGACAUGAUGGGCCAACACAAAUUCAAAUGCCACAAAGGAAGUUAAAAAAAAAAAAAAAAAAAGCCACAAAGGCGAGUGAGCAGCGGUCCGACUAUAUUAUUGGUCCGGGUUACCGGGGGACUUUUAUUGCGGACGGACCGCCCGAAAGUUCGAAAGUAAAUCUGUUUGAAGAAGAUAGAAGGUUGAGGACUUUGAGAAGUAGGGAACGGGUUGUCCGAUGGAAUGCUGUACGGGGCGCCGUCGUCAUUGUCCUCGACAUCGACGCGCAGCGCCUUGCCGAGAAGUGUUGACCUAUCCGACACAAGGAGUAGACGAGAGAGUGUGAAGGAUUCAGCUGAGUGAAUGGCAUUUUAUGAUGCAGGAAGCUCCUGCAGUGCUGCGGGAACAGAGGGCCUCAGUGCGGCGGGUUUACCCAAGAUAAGUACCCUGGCACAGGGGGAACUUGACCACCUCCAGGGCCUCUUUCACCUCAGUCCAUUGACCUUGGAGAAACCAGAACCACAGAGUGGGUCUUCUGCCAAAGACGACUAAAAAAGUCCAAACAGAGAUAAGUAACAGAAACAAAAUCCGCAUGAUUCAUUGCCAUAGUCCACUUCAUUUGACUGAAAAGAAAAAUAGAAACCUCCCUUAAACUUUUGUUGACUUCUAGGAUAACUUUUCAGAUAAAUGUGCUAAUUUAAGAAAUGGAUAGAUUGUAUGUUCCUCACUUUCAUCUGUUUACCUCACAAAGGAGCUUGUGAAUUGUGUUUGUGUGUGUGUGUGUGUGUGUGUGUGUGUGUGUGUGUGUGUGUGUGUGUGUGUGUGUGUGUGUGUGUGUGUGUGUGUGUGUGUGUGUGUGUGUGUGUGUGUGUGUGUGUGUGUGUGUGUGUGUGUGUGUGUGUGUGUGUGUGUGUGAUUUUAAAAAGAAGAAACCCCUCUCCGAGCUUGCAUAUUUAAAUUGUCCUGAACUCCGACUGCGUCUGAGUCGAACUGCACUAACCACUGAAAGUCGUACGUGCUUGGCAGUUCUGUCAUUACACCCAAAGACGCAGCCUGCUUGGAAAGAUCCACAGAAGGAUAUAAUUAGCGCAAUGAGACAAACCGGUAUUUUCGGGGUCAGAGGAUUUGUCGCUAUUUCUACUUACAGUAAGAAGUUUUAACCUCCCAGUAAAACGUGCAGUGCCCCCCCAUUGCCCUCAGCCUCACGAUCUGCACAUAGUUAGUGCCUGAGCUGCAAAGUCAGCACCUUAUUACGCAAUCGGAGGGACUGGCUGAGUUUAGUAAACUCAGAAAAGAAACUCAGUGACACUGAAAUAGAAAAGAGUCAUUAUUCCCCAACAUUUACUAAGAUUGCAAUCUCACUUAAACUCCAACUUGAAUUUAGAACAAUAUUUAACUUUAUUUCUUCAGACUAAUGAAAUAUGAGUCAUUUUCUGAGCCCACUUCAUGGUCUUUUUGAAAGUGUUACUUUUUUUAAAUGAAUUGUGCUGAUUCCUUUUACUUUGGUGCUUUAUCCAGCCCGUGUUUGUCUGCUGUCAUUGAUAUACAUAUUAAGUUUCCCAAUCCACAAUUUAGGGUCGUACAGAGAUGUCAGUUAAUAUGCUCAAUAGUUAAUUUCCAAAACAGUCAUGUAAUUAAACAAUUUAAGUGUAUUUUGUGGGAUUACCUAAAAAGAAAAAGUACCAUAAACAUGUUUUUUUAAAACUUUUCUCAUAAAGUUGUUCUGCAUCAGGCUCUGUGGUCCUGCUAACUGGAGCCUAUGCGUCAUGUGAGAGAAGAUACUGAACACAUGUUUUCUGGGAAGCUGGGAGGGAUGAAGCCUAAUGUUUACGGUACAGACAGCUGACAUGGGAAUACAUGAACUGUACGCUGUGACAUUUAGUUUUUGCAUUCUAGAUGUCAGAAAAUCCACUUUCAAAGCUUCGGCUCAAAGGAUUUCCUCUGACUUAUGUUGUAAUGUUCCAUUAAAAUAGACAGAUUAGAAACAAAGGGUUUACUUUAAUGCACUGCAUUACUCCGGUUAUUCUGGUUCACACACACCCCAAUCACAAGACAACCCAAAAAACUCGUGAAGCAUUAGUUGAGACGGCGGUUUGGCGUUCCACGCAUGAGUAACUGUAACUGUCUAACAGUUUUGAAUUUCGCCAUAAACCACAUGUUUGGCGGUUACCGUACUUUGGUUCUCACUCAUCUGAAACCACACCACAGUUUCCUUUGGAGUGAGACAGAAACUCAAUGGCAUUGUCAUCACCUGACAAACAAACCAGAUGGAUAAAUGCCUUUGAAUGUAAUUACGCUGCUAAAAAAUACACACACUGCUCAUCUCGAUGACCUCUUGGUGCCAUACAUCAACACCAGGUUUCUGAGUUGGGUCUGCAGACACCCACAGUCGGACAAAUGUGCACCUUGCGUGAGAGACAUAUUUAGAUACACAAGAAGUCUGCGACUGUAUAGUCACAACUACACAUAGUGGAAAAGAUUGAUGUGAAAUCCACAGUUAAAAAAUGACUAUGUUUUGACGGAUACACUGUAUGUUUACAGUGCAAUGAUUUCAGAUUUCAAUGUCGCACCAUUAAGAGUCACAUAAUCAAAUGCAAUAAGUAACAAAAAUGAUCCCUUUUAAUGCCAAGAUGAGGUGAGAGUUGGCCUGUAUAAUCAAUCGUGGUAGGGAUUUUUACAAUAAUGAAAUGUUACUCUUACCUGGCAGAGGAUGCUGCGUAUGUACUUGCCGCAGGCGACAUAUCCCGAAUGGUCGAAGUUCUCCAUGAUGGUGUGAAACUUGACCGAUAUCUCCCCGUCCCUUUCCACAUCGCAGCAUCCAAACUUGGAGUACUCCUUGCAGAGGACCAAUGGCUGCCGGGGCUCAAACGGAGGCUUGUAGUCCAAACACUGGGGGUGACAGCUCCCCCACCAGGAGUGGAGGAGCAACAGCAGCACAGACAGAAUUCAGGAUAUUAUUAAGCGCUCGACUCUGAAUCAAAGCAGCUUUCACUAUAACGUGUGAGGAGAAGGACGCAGAAGUAAAUAUGACAUCUCCACCAGCAUCUGUCAAGCACAGACAGCUGUGUGUGUGUUUGUGUAGAAGUGUGAAUGUGUGGACAUCAAACACACUGACCCAGCAUCACACCUGCCUGCAACUUGGCCAGAGACCUCCAAAGCUCGCGGGAUUGCGCGCUGGUUAAAUCACCAACCCACACAUCACGCUUAGAAGGCAAGCUGUGAAUGAGGUCAGACUGAUCCUGAUCCAGUGAAUUCUUCUGAUGGUGUAGAGUUCUUCAGUUUGUUGACAGAACCGGCGUGUCAAGUUUUCAGGUGUUCCAGUAUUCUACAUCAUGUCUGAGGAAGUACAAGAGUUUCCAAUUAUCCGAUCAGCUCCUCCAGUGUUUUUGCUCCACCCGCAAAAUCCUGUCAGAAGGCACAGGCACACACCACAGCCACCACCACUAUGUUGCCGAUAGUUGCCAGCACAGCGACCCAGAGCCAGAUUGUGUCACUGGACACUUUGCCGUCGUCCUCCGCUUCCGAGGGUCGAUAGCCCGCGUUGAGGUUGGAGGUGGACGUCUGCAAGGACGUGUUGCCAUUGUACGGAGAAUCCAUGAAGGCCCCGCUCACAGCUGGGAAAUGCUGUGAGGAGAGAGGGAGAAGGGACAGAGGAAAGAACAAGAAAGAGAGACACAUUUAGAUAAAGGUGUAUUGAAAAUAUAUAUAUAUAUAUAUAUUAAGAUAUUCCUUGUUUCAAAGGGCUGAAAAUCAGAUAAAAAUUCUGCCCUAAAUGUAUCAUACAAUGAUGAGCGAACAAUGUUCUGUUCAGGACGUGAACCCCACAGCUGUGGUCUCUGGUCUCUGGGCGGCUUCACUGUACAGUGGAGAGGAAUCAGCAUCUCAAAGGGAUUAACUCUCAAAAGGAUUAACUGAGGCCGACACAUGCCACGCAUACAUACCGACAGAGACAGGGCAGAGAUGAACAAAAACCAAGUGAGGCAAAUAUAAUGGAUCGCACUUUUUUGUGUCAGCUGGAUGUGUUUGUCCCUGGGGGCUUCCCCAGCACCCACUCAAACAGACAGACAGGAAAGAGAUGCAACCAAUAUUGCUGCUACCUCUUGAAAUUAAUAGAAAAUAGAAUGUCUACAGAAGAAGAAACAAGCACACACACAUAGGCACACAAUCUGUUUCCUUUCUUGAUUUAUUUCCCUCUCCUUUACCCACGUAACACCUCAGGUUUUAGUUGCGUGUUGCUACAGCAUCAGCUCUUUAUUCUGUACGUGUGACACCAGAGCUACAGACACGUGGGGUUGAAGCGCAGGUGUGAACUUUAUAUACUGCAACUUUUUACUCAAGCUCACGACGACACACUGUGAAAAAGGACAAUAACACAAGCACAAAGGUAGUCUCAUAGUCUAAUGUACGUGCAAACACAGACUGUACUGUGUGGCUAUUAAUAAUUUUGUCUUUUUAGCAUCCUACAAAUCUCAUUUUGUUAUGACAGUAUAGUUUUCCAGAUAUUUUUUUUAUUUUUGUUCCAUUAUACCUAAGGCAUUUAUGGGAGCUGAGAAACUGAAUCCAGUCCAUCCUGGGUAUUCAGAUUUGGGAAAUAAUCUGGAUAUGAGUCAUCGAAUUUGUGAAUGUGUAAAGGAAUCUGCAAAUGUGUAUUCAGAUUCACAACUCUCCGGCCACAUUUGUGAUUAAUAUUUCUAGUAAAAUGACUUUUAGAUUUAUUAGAGGGAGAGUGACACAUGGAAGAGCCCAGCUCGAAAGAAAGAGAGCGUGCAAAACAUAUGAAAGGAAAUUAACUUUCAUUAUGCGGAUGAGCACAUGUUUAUGACUCUGUGUCAGUGUAACUGAAGCUGAGGUCAAAGCCUCAAGAUUGUAAAUAGACUUUUUUUUUUGUCUAGCCCACUGUGGCUCUGGGCUGCUUCGAGCGUCAGGUUCUUUUUGACCCCUGAGUGCUUCCCGGGCUUCUCUUGUGUCCUCAUCUACCCCAGCUCUGCAGCCACACUGCAUAUAUGUGACUUCUCAGUGAGCAAACCCUUCACACUGAGGGGAGUCACUUUUCUUUUUGUUAAAUAUUACAAGUGAAACCCAUUAUUACAUGCUCAACCUCAGUUAGUGCUCACGGUGGUUGUCAUUGUGACGUCUUCAAUGGUGCGGAGGAAUUUAAACUGAAACUGUUUUUCUGCGGACUUUAGAAGAAUCUAAAUAAAACAUGUCAGCCA
Scophthalmus maximus (turbot) is the source of this 5256-nucleotide long non-coding RNA. RefSeq lists it as uncharacterized. The transcript is spliced from 6 exons. The record is from RefSeq and is a predicted model, not a curated record. NCBI's taxonomy places the organism in Eukaryota, Metazoa, Chordata, Actinopteri, Pleuronectiformes, Scophthalmidae.